This 309-nucleotide unclassified non-coding RNA is filed under the name plant metagenome. Its description in RNAcentral is "partial contains 5.8S ribosomal RNA, internal transcribed spacer 2, and large subunit ribosomal RNA". The stretch from base 1 to 105 matches the Rfam family "5.8S ribosomal RNA", at positions 50 to 154 of the family's 154-position model. The record is from RNAcentral.
GAAAUGCGAUAAGUAGUGUGAAUUGCAGAAUUCAGUGAAUCAUCGAAUCUUUGAACGCACAUUGCGCCCCUUGGUAUUCCAUGGGGCAUGCCUGUUCGAGCGUCAUUUGUACCCUCAAGCUCUGCUUGGUGUUGGGUGUUUGUCCCGUCUCCGCGCGUGGACUCGCCCCAAAGUGAUUGGCAGCCGGCGUACUGGUCCCGGAGCGCAGCACAUGUCGCGCAAACGAGUGCCUUGGUACGGCGGCGUCCAUAAGCCCCUCUCUCACGCUCUUGACCUCGGAGCAGGUAGGGAUACCCGCUGAACUUCAGC